UGGAGAGUAUUCUGUGUGCAGCAGUUACAAAAUCCUCUUACAAAGAAAUGAAAAUUACAGGCAAGAGGAAAUCAAUACAUGUUACAAAAAAACUCUGGAGCUGUGACCUCCCUUCAAAAAUUAAUAUUACAGCCUAGAGAGUCACCCUUAACUUUAUCCCUACUCUAGUAAACCUAAAAGCUAAGCGACUAAUAAAUGAGGCCAAUUGUUAGAGGUGCUUGUAAGGGCUGGAAACAAGAGAACACGUCUUCCGGGAUUGCACUGUCACAAAAGAAAUAUGGGAAAAAUUAGAGUUUACAUGGCCUCAGGCUCUUUCACAAGUUGAGUUUAUGGAAUGGUUUACCUGAAUUAUGCUCCACAGUACAAGAGAAGCCAGUCAGACCUUCAUUUGCACUUUAUGGGCUAUCUGGGCAGCUAGAAACAAAUGGAUGUAUGAAAACCACAAGAGAACUGGAGCAGAAAUAGUAAAAUUCAUACGGGGAUAUAUACAGGAAGUUAAAGACAUUACGAAAACAGAUCUUGCCUUAAGGUUGGAAUCUGAGUUAUGGAGGCCUCCGGAAAAAGAGUUCUUCAAGAUAAACUUUGAUGCUGCCUUUGAUAAUAGAUAGAACAGAUCCUGUUCAAGAAUAAUAAUCAGAAAUUUCAAGGGUGACAUUAUAGUAUCCAACACAAUAAUUCAUACCAACAUAUGCACUAGUUUUGCGGCUGAAGCAAACGCAUGUCUACAGGCAGUCAAGAUGGGCAGAGAAUUAGGGAUAAAACAGAUUAACAUUGAAGGAGACUCCUUAACAGUUAUAAAGAAAGUUAAAAGCUCAAAAAGAGACAGAUUGGAAAUAGGACCUUUUAUCUAUGAUAUAAAAGAACAGAAAGCAACAUUCCACGAUUUUCAGUUUCAAUAUGUCAGACGAUCAGCAAAUACAGAAGCACAUAAUCUGGCAACGGAAGGGCUAAAAAUGGACAGAAGUACAUACCUGGCUCCUGGGUCCGGCGGAAAUGGCAUUUCUGAAGCAGAGGUAGAUCGGGGAUAGAGAUAAACCAAUUGGAAAUAGUAACAACACCAGUUGCGGGGACAAAAGAGGAGAAGACGAUCUAUCUAGCAGGAAAAUACAUGGCGGUACAAAAAUCUUUAGAAAAGGAAAAUGAGUGGAAGACGGGCUGCGAAUAAGAAGAAGGCAACGAUGGAAAAGAAAAGAUCAAAGGAAUAAGACUAACAGCUGGGAAGACAAUAUCUUUUCGUUGGA
RNAcentral lists this long non-coding RNA (1241 nucleotides) under Gossypium barbadense (sea-island cotton). RNAcentral describes it as "long non-coding RNA (GBAR_LNC012245)". Lineage: Eukaryota; Viridiplantae; Streptophyta; Magnoliopsida; Malvales; Malvaceae. The record is from RNAcentral.